UCCCUGAUGGCCUAGUGGUUAGGAUUUGGUGCUGUCACCACCGCAGCCUGGGUUCAAUUCCCAGUCAGGGAA
Non-coding RNA from Stegostoma tigrinum, 72 nucleotides. NCBI's taxonomy places the organism in Eukaryota, Metazoa, Chordata, Chondrichthyes, Orectolobiformes, Stegostomatidae. The record is from the annotation of a RefSeq genome assembly.